Molecule: long non-coding RNA, 1329 nt
Organism: Sarcophilus harrisii (Tasmanian devil)
Lineage: Eukaryota; Metazoa; Chordata; Mammalia; Dasyuromorphia; Dasyuridae
Source: Ensembl
CCCGCCCCCGCCCGGCUAAGCCGUUCCUGGGGGAGGGGGCUGGGCGGCCCGAACUCCUGGGUCCAGCCUCGGGCUGCGGUGCGUGCGACCGUCUCUGUCGCCAUCCACAGGCUCGGCCGCCUCUCCGCUCGGGCUGCCUGGUCUCCUCCCUCCUCCCCGUCCCUCCUCCUCUUCCUCCUCCCCCUCUUCCUCCCCUUCCAGCAUCCCCAUCCCUGCUCCUGCUCCGGGGAGGUGGCUCGAGAGCUCCCGGAGGGGACCUAUUUCUUCUGGCCUGCCCCGGGCUCGGGCGGCGGCCAAGCAGCUAGAGACAGGGCCCCCGGGAGCCGGGUCCGAGCCUCCUCCGGCCCCCUCCCGCGGAGCCGCGCCGAGGGGCGGGCCCAGACCGGAGCCCGCCCCCGCCCCCUCGGCCCGGUGUCGCUGCUGCUCCCGGCCCGCCGCCGCCGCUGCGCUCGGCUCCGGGGCUCCCCGCUCCUCCGCGCCCCAAGCCCGCUCGCUCCGCCAGCCCCCGGGCGCCCCGCAGCCCUGCGCCUCGGCGGCGGGGGGCCGCCCUCCCGCCCGCCAACUUCUCCCGCUGCCCCCCGCCACCCCCGGGCCGCCGUCUGGGCCCCCCCGCCCCUGUCCCCGCCGGAGCGGCUCGGGGACGCCCGCGCGGGCCGGGGCCGGGGAGCCGCCGGUGCGAGGAGCCGCUCGGGGAUCUCGGGGAGAGCGGCCUCGGCAGUUUGGGGGCGGGGCGGGCGCGGAGGGGGCGACGAUGCGCCUCCAGACGUGACGGGGCCGCCGCCGCCGCCGCCGCCGCCGCCGCCGCCGCCGGUGCCACCGCCCGUGCCAGUGCCCGUGCCGCCUGUGCCGCGGGAGGCCAGGCGUGAAGAUGAGGCUCUCUGGGAUUACACGUGGAGAAAGGCGAUCGGGAUCGGCCCCGGGGAGCGCCGGCUGGUGAGACGCGCGGCUCCCCCACCCCCGUGCCCCGGAGAAGCGGCUUCAAUGGCGCCAUCCCCCAAGAGGAGCCGCCGGAAAGAUGCCAACGCCUUGCCGAGCAUGUCCUCAACUUUUUGGGCUUUCAUGAUCCUGGCGAGUCUGCUGAUCGCCUACUGCAACAUCUCUGAGGAAGAAAUCAGAAAACAGUCUGGAGGAGCCCUCACAUACCUGGGGCCUACAUUUGGGAAUCUGGUCAGGAAGGAAGCAUAUCUGUUUGCCAGAAACAUCCAACAGCAAGGGCACCCUGACUUGUCACGAGCAAAACCUGACUUCCUGUGGACCACUGAGAAUUUGGAUUCCACACAGGACCUGAUGUUACACGGGAGGCUUGGUAAUAUUUUAUGGCCUCAGUAA